Molecule: ribosomal RNA, 468 nt
Filed under: uncultured bacterium
Lineage: Bacteria
Description: partial 16S ribosomal RNA
Rfam family: Bacterial small subunit ribosomal RNA
Source: RNAcentral
GACGAACGCUGGCGGCGUGCUUAACACAUGCAAGUCGAACGGAAAGGCCCUGCUUUUGUGGGGUGCUCGAGUGGCGAACGGGUGAGUAACACGUGAGUAACCUGCCCUUGACUUUGGGAUAACUUCAGGAAACUGGGGCUAAUACCGGAUAGGAGCUCCUGCUGCAUGGUGGGGGUUGGAAAGUUUCGGCGGUUGGGGAUGGACUCGCGGCGUAUCAGCUUGUUGGUGGGGUAGUGGAUUACCAAGGCUUUGACGGGUAGCCGGCCUGAGAGGGUGACCGGCCACACUGGGACUGAGAUACGGCACAGACUCCUACGGGAGGCAGCAGUGGGGAAUAUUGCAGAAUGGGCGGAAGCCUGAUGCAGCAACGCCGCGUGCGGGAUGACGGCCUUCGGGUUGUAAACCGCUGUCGCCUGUGACGAAGCGUGAGUGACGGUAAUGGGUAAAGAAGCACCGGCUAACUACGUG